RNAcentral lists this ribosomal RNA (257 nucleotides) under uncultured eukaryote. RNAcentral describes it as "partial 18S ribosomal RNA". It matches the Rfam family "Eukaryotic small subunit ribosomal RNA", at positions 1299 to 1458 of the family's 1831-position model. The record is from RNAcentral.
UGGUGGAGCGAUUUGUCUGGUUUAUUCCGUUAACGAACGAGACCUUAGCCUGCUAAAUAAGCCGCGCUAACCCAUCCAUCAAAACCCAUGCGCGGCUUCCGAGGUCCGCUGCAGGAUGGCGACGUCAGCAAUGGCGGCUGUCAUCUUGCCGGUGGGAUCCGAGCUCGUGUGGGCGGUCGGGUUCGGCGUCCGUGCUUCUUAGAGGGACUGCUGAUUAUUUAAAAGCGUUUAGCCAGCGGAAGUUUGAGGCAAUAACA